This 612-nucleotide ribosomal RNA is filed under the name uncultured bacterium. RNAcentral's name for it is "bacterial SSU rRNA". The stretch from base 1 to 522 matches the Rfam family "Bacterial small subunit ribosomal RNA", at positions 338 to 873 of the family's 1533-position model. The record is from RNAcentral.
CCUACGGGAGGCAGCAGUGGGGAAUUUUCCGCAAUGGGCGAAAGCCUGACGGAGCAAUACCGCGUGAGGGAGGAAGGCUCUUGGGUUGUAAACCUCUUUUCUCAGGGAAGAACAAAUGACGGUACCUGAGGAAUAAGCAUCGGCUAACUCCGUGCCAGCAGCCGCGGUAAUACGGAGGAUGCAAGCGUUAUCCGGAAUGAUUGGGCGUAAAGCGUCCGCAGGUGGGUGUUCAAGUCUGCUGUCAAAGGUCGGGGCUCAACUCCGUUAAGGCAGUGGAAACUGAACAGCUAGAGUGCGGUAGGGGUAGAGGGAAUUCCCAGUGUAGCGGUGAAAUGCGUAGAGAUUGGGAAGAACACCGGUGGCGAAAGCGCUCUACUGGACCGCAACUGACACUCAGGGACGAAAGCUAGGGGAGCGAAUGGGAUUAGAUACCCCAGUAGUCCUAGCCGUAAACGAUGGAUACUAGGUGUUGCUGGUAUCGACCCCAGCAGUAUCGUAGCUACGUACGUUAAGUUAUCCGUCCGUCGGGUAGGUACGCGCGCGAGCGNGAACGUACGAAAGAAAGUAGACGGUCGUGAGACGUUGUCCGACGGACGACGACGAGGGAGGAGG